This 1737-nucleotide long non-coding RNA is filed under the name Homo sapiens (human). RNAcentral describes it as "non-protein coding lnc-RPIA-1:4". The record is from RNAcentral. Lineage: Eukaryota; Metazoa; Chordata; Mammalia; Primates; Hominidae.
CUGCAUUGCUUGUUGUUGCGCUUCGGAGGCGGCGAUCCCCGAAGGCGAGCUGAAAUACGGCUGGAGCGUUCCCAGGCUACAGUUUGUAGCCGACGAUUGUGGAAGACUAGGAGCCGGAGAGGUGGCCCACCCUCAGGGAGCGCUUGUGCUCGGAGGGCUUCUCAUUUCCCCAAUACCACAUUAAAUCGUCUCAUCUGAGGAGGAUCCACAGAGCUGUCUUCUAUGGUAAUCUGGAGAAACUGGAGUACCUUCUGCUCACGUAUCAUGACACCAAUGAGAGAGACAAGGAGGAAAGCAUCCGGUGAAAGACAGAGAUCACAUUUCAACUAGAUUCUUAGGAAGUAUGGAUUCACUAACUUCAGCGAAGCUUACCCUGAAAGAAGCAGAUCCCAGUUCAAAAGUAGCCAUAAGAAGGAAGGAUUCACCACCUCCAGGAAAAGUGUCUUCUCAGAAACAACCAGCUGAGAAGGCUGCAAGUGACGAGAAAGAUUCUGUUUCGAAUAUAGCCACAGAAAUAAAGGAGGGACCAAUAUCUGGGACAGUGUCUUCUCAGAAACAACCAGCUGAGAAGGCUGCAAGUGACGAGAAAGAUUCUGUUUCAAAUAUAGCCACAGAAAUAAAGGAUGGACAACAAUCUGGGAGACAUAAUUUUGCAAAGCAGAUUUAAUGUCAUGUUCAGCCAAGAUAGACAAGAACUUCUCUUCCCCGAAUAAAUCAGCGGGGGACUCUUUGAAGCUGCACAUUCUGAUUCAGCAGGCCUGAGAUUCUACAUUUGUAUGUCUUCUCAGAAACAAUCGGCCUGGAAGGUUAUAUUUAAAAAGAAAGUUUCUCUUUUGAAUAUUGCCACAAGAAUAAUGGGUGGUCAGAAAUCUGGAACAGAGUAUCCUGAGAAUCUGCCCACCAUGAAGGCUACAGUUGAAAAUAAAGAUUCUGUUCUGAAUACAGCCACCAAAAUGAAGGAUGUACAAACAUCCACACCAGAAGAACAAGACUUAGAAAUGGCAUCAGAGGGAGAGCAAAAGAGGCUUGAAGAAUAUGAAAAUAACCAGCCACAGCAACUGGAUGAUGCUCGCAACAAAGCUGACAAUCAAGAAAAGGCAAUACUUAAUAUUCAAGCCAGAUGUGAUGCUAGAGUACAAAACCUUCAAGCUGAGUGCAGAAAGCGCCGUCUUUUACUAGAAGACAGUAAAAGGUUGGUAAAUGAAUUGAAUCAUUUGAAAGAAAAAGAACGCCAAUAUGAAAAAAAGCAAGCAGAAAGAGAACUUCAAGAAACACAGGAUCAACUUACAGCUACUAUAAGAUGUACUAAGGGGAUGGAAGGCGACGCACAAAAGCUUGAAGUAGAAAAUGCCAUGAUGAGAAAAACUAUUAAAAAACAGGAUGACCAAAUUGAGCGACUUGAGAAAAUCCUGCAGCGUUCAAGUUUGAUGCCACAGGUGUUCAAGAGCUAGAUGAAGUGCUUGUCCUAGUACCUUAGCACAUGGUUGCUGAAUACAUGAAUGAAGAGUGAGAAACCAGAAGCUCUGAUAUUUAACUGCCGUGAUAAUGAAUUCAAUGUGCAACUAUGGGCAAAUUGUAUUUAAUAGUAAUUGCAUAUUGUACAUAUUUUUCAUUCUUAUUAACACUGAUAAACUUUUCAACUUAUACUGACUUUAAUAAAAUUGUAUUACUAGGCUAUUAACAUGAUAUUUUGUUUCCCAUUAAAUGUGACAUGCAAAGACGUUUAUUAAAUGAAAA